GACGAACGCUGGCGGCGUGCUUAACACAUGCGAGUCGAACGGAAAGGCCCUGCUUUUGUGGGGUGCUCGAGUGGCGAACGGGUGAGUAACACGUGAGUAACCUGCCCUUGACUUUGGGAUAACUUCAGGAAACUGGGGCUAAUACCGGAUAGGAGCUCCUGCUGCAUGGUGGGGGUUGGAAAGUUUCGGCGGUUGGGGAUGGACUCGCGGCUUAUCAGCUUGUUGGUGGGGUAGUGGCUUACCAAGGCUUUGACGGGUAGCCGGCCUGAGAGGGUGACCGGCCAGCGUGGGACUGAGAUACGGCCCAGACUCCUACGGGAGGCAGCAGUGGGGAAUAUUGCACAAUGGGCGGAAGCCUGAUGCAGCAACGCCGCGUGCGGGAUGACGGCCUUCGGGUUGUAAACCGCUUUCGCCUGUGACGAAGCGUGAGUGACGGUAAUGGGUAAAGAAGCACCGGCUAACUACGUG
This 468-nucleotide ribosomal RNA is filed under the name uncultured bacterium. RNAcentral's name for it is "partial 16S ribosomal RNA". It matches the Rfam family "Bacterial small subunit ribosomal RNA", at positions 28 to 507 of the family's 1533-position model. The record is from RNAcentral.